GGUCAGCGACUUAUAUUCUGUAGCAAGGUUAACCGAAUAGGGGAGCCGGAGGGAAACCGAGUCUUAAUUGGGCGUUAAGUUGCAGGGUAUAGACCCGAAACCCGGUGAUCUAGCCAUGGGCAGGUUGAAGGUUGGGUAACACUAACUGGAGGACCGAACCGACUAAUGUUGAAAAAUUAGCGGAUGACCUGUGGCUGGGGGUGAAAGGCCAAUCAAACCGGGAGAUAGCUGGUUCUCCCCGAAAGCUAUUUAGGUAGCGCCUCGUGAAUUCAUCUCCGGGGGUAGAGCACUGUUUCGGCUAGGGGGCCAUCCCGGCUUACCAACCCGAUGCAAACUGCGAAUACCGGAGAAUGUUAUCACGGGAGACACACGGCGGGUGCUAACGUCCGUCGUGAAGAGGGAAACAACCCAGACCGCCAGCUAAGGUCCCAAAGUCAUGGUUAAGUGGGAAACGAUGUGGGAAGGCCCAGACAGCCAGGAUGUUGGCUUAGAAGCAGCCAUCAUUUAAAGAAAGCGUAAUAGCUCACUGGUCGAGUCGGCCUGCGCGGAAGAUGUAACGGGGCUAAACCAUGCACCGAAGCUGCGGCAGCGACACUGUGUGUUGUUGGGUAGGGGAGCGUUCUGUAAGCCUGUGAAGGUGUGUCGUGAGGCAUGCUGGAGGUAUCAGAAGUGCGAAUGCUGACAUAAGUAACGAUAAAGCGGGUGAAAAGCCCGCUCGCCGGAAGACCAAGGGUUCCUGUCCAACGUUAAUCGGGGCAGGGUGAGUCGACCCCUAAGGCGAGGCCGAAAGGCGUAGUCGAUGGGAAACGGGUUAAUAUUCCCGUACUUGGUGUUACUGCGAAGGGGGGACGGAGAAGGCUAUGUUGGCCGGGCGACGGUUGUCCCGGUUUAAGCGUGUAGGUGUGUGUUCCAGGUAAAUCCGGUUCACUUUAACACUGAGGCGUGACGACGAGGCACUACGGUGCUGAAGCAACAAAUGCCCUGCUUCCAGGAAAAGCCUCUAAGCAUCAGGUAACAUCAAAUCGUACCCCAAACCGACACAGGUGGUCAGGUAGAGAAUACCAAGGCGCUUGAGAGAACUCGGGUGAAGGAACUAGGCAAAAUGGUGCCGUAACUUCGGGAGAAGGCACGCUGACACGUAGGUGAAGUGAUUUACUCAUGGAGCUGAAGUCAGUCGAAGAUACCAGCUGGCUGCAACUGUUUAUUAAAAACACAGCACUGUGCAAACACGAAAGUGGACGUAUACGGUGUGACGCCUGCCCGGUGCCGGAAGGUUAAUUGAUGGGGUCAGCGCAAGCGAAGCUCCUGAUCGAAGCCCCGGUAAACGGCGGCCGUAACUAUAACGGUCCUAAGGUAGCGAAAUUCCUUGUCGGGUAAGUUCCGACCUGCACGAAUGGCGUAAUGAUGGCCAGGCUGUCUCCACCCGAGACUCAGUGAAAUUGAACUCGCUGUGAAGAUGCAGUGUACCCGCGGCAAGACGGAAAGACCCCGUGAACCUUUACUAUAGCUUGACACUGAACAUUGAGCCUUGAUGUGUAGGAUAGGUGGGAGGCUUUGAAGCGUGGACGCCAGUCUGCGUGGAGCCGACCUUGAAAUACCACCCUUUAAUGUUUGAUGUUCUAACGUGGACCCGU
Molecule: ribosomal RNA, 1634 nt
Filed under: Salmonella enterica
Lineage: Bacteria; Pseudomonadati; Pseudomonadota; Gammaproteobacteria; Enterobacterales; Enterobacteriaceae
Description: partial 23S ribosomal RNA
Rfam family: Bacterial large subunit ribosomal RNA
Source: RNAcentral